GACGAACGCUGGCGGCGUGCCUAAUACAUGCAAGUCGAACGCUGAAGAGAGGAGCUUGCUCUUCUUGGAUGAGUUGCGAACGGGUGAGUAACGCGUAGGUAACCUGCCUUGUAGCGGGGGAUAACUAUUGGAAACGAUAGCUAAUACCGCAUAACAAUGGAUGACACAUGUCAUUUAUUUGAAGGGGGCAAUUGCUCCACUACAAGAUGGACCUGCGUUGUAUUAGCUAGUAGGUGAGGUAAUGGCUCACCUAGGCGACGAUACAUAGCCGACCUGAGAGGGUGAUCGGCCACACUGGGACUGAGACACGGCCCAGACUCCUACGGGAGGCAGCAGUAGGGAAUCUUCGGCAAUGGGGGCAACCCUGACCGAGCAACGCCGCGUGAGUGAAGAAGGUUUUCGGAUCGUAAAGCUCUGUUGUAAGUCAAGAACGGGUGUGAGAGUGGAAAGUUCACACUGUGACGGUAGCUUACCAGAAAGGGACGGCUAACUACGUG
Molecule: ribosomal RNA, 497 nt
Filed under: uncultured bacterium
Lineage: Bacteria
Description: partial 16S ribosomal RNA
Rfam family: Bacterial small subunit ribosomal RNA
Source: RNAcentral